UUCCUCCUGGUUGAGGAGGUAAGGCCUGCUCACUGAAUUUUUAAAGAGCCGCAGUAUUCUGACUGUGCUAAGGUAGCAUAAUCAUUAGUCUUUUAAUUGGGGACUGGUAUGAAUGGCUAAACGAGAGAUCAGCUUUUUUUAUUAUACGUAAAUUGAAUUUAACUUUUUAGUGAAAAGGCUAAAAUUCACCAGAAAGACGAGAAGACCCUAUAGAGUUUUAUAUAUAAAAAACUUAUAUUUUAUUGGAUUUUUUUAGAUAUAAGUUUGUAGUGUAUUUUGUUGGGGCGACAUUAAGAUAAAAAAAACUCUUUAUAAAAAUGACUUUUAUAGAAGGAUAGUUUGACCCUCUUAAAGAGAUCAAAAGAAAAAAUUACCUUAGGGAUAACAGCGUAAUCUUUUUUGAGAGUUCUAAUCGACAAAAAGGUUUGCGACCUCGAUGUUGGACUAAAAUUUAGGCAGGGUGCAGCAGUUCUGCUUUAGGGUCUGUUCGACCCGUAAUAUUUUACAUGAUCU
RNAcentral lists this ribosomal RNA (513 nucleotides) under Pseudoctomeris sulcata. RNAcentral's name for it is "partial 16S ribosomal RNA". It matches the Rfam family "Bacterial large subunit ribosomal RNA", at positions 1834 to 2606 of the family's 2925-position model. The record is from RNAcentral. Lineage: Eukaryota; Metazoa; Arthropoda; Thecostraca; Balanomorpha; Chthamalidae.